GCCGCGUUGGCCUAAUGGUAGGGCGUCGCUUUCCUAUCUGAUCAUGAUUAGCUAAUCAUGAGGCGAAGCUUGCGGGUUCGAGUCCCGUACGCGGUA
Hysterangium stoloniferum is the source of this 96-nucleotide non-coding RNA. Lineage: Eukaryota; Fungi; Basidiomycota; Agaricomycetes; Hysterangiales; Hysterangiaceae. The record is from the annotation of a GenBank genome assembly.